Molecule: ribosomal RNA, 592 nt
Filed under: Bacillus subtilis
Lineage: Bacteria; Bacillati; Bacillota; Bacilli; Caryophanales; Bacillaceae
Description: bacterial SSU rRNA
Rfam family: Bacterial small subunit ribosomal RNA
Source: RNAcentral
GGGAGCUUGCUCCCUGAUGUUAGCGGCGGACGGGUGAGUAACACGUGGGUAACCUGCCUGUAAGACUGGGAUAACUCCGGGAAACCGGGGCUAAUACCGGAUGGUUGUUUGAACCGCAUGGUUCAAACAUAAAAGGUGGCUUCGGCUACCACUUACAGAUGGACCCGCGGCGCAUUAGCUAGUUGGUGAGGUAACGGCUCACCAAGGCAACGAUGCGUAGCCGACCUGAGAGGGUGAUCGGCCACACUGGGACUGAGACACGGCCCAGACUCCUACGGGAGGCAGCAGUAGGGAAUCUUCCGCAAUGGACGAAAGUCUGACGGAGCAACGCCGCGUGAGUGAUGAAGGUUUUCGGAUCGUAAAGCUCUGUUGUUAGGGAAGAACAAGUACCGUUCGAAUAGGGCGGUACCUUGACGGUACCUAACCAGAAAGCCACGGCUAACUACGUGCCAGCAGCCGCGGUAAUACGUAGGUGGCAAGCGUUGUCCGGAAUUAUUGGGCGUAAAGGGCUCGCAGGCGGUUUCUUAAGUCUGAUGUGAAAGCCCCCGGCUCAACCGGGGAGGGUCAUUGGAAACUGGGGAACUUGAGUGCA